Molecule: ribosomal RNA, 253 nt
Filed under: uncultured bacterium
Lineage: Bacteria
Description: partial 16S ribosomal RNA
Rfam family: Bacterial small subunit ribosomal RNA
Source: RNAcentral
UACGAAGGGUGCAAGCGUUACUCGGAAUUACUGGGCGUAAAGCGUGUGUAGGUGGUUCGUUAAGUCUGAUGUGAAAGCCCUGGGCUCAACCUGGGAAUUGCAUUGGAUACUGGCGAGCUAGAGUGCGGUAGAGGAUGGCGGAAUUCCCGGUGUAGCGGUGAAAUGCGUAGAGAUCGGGAGGAACAUCUGUGGCGAAGGCGGCCCUCUGGCCCAGCUCUGCCGCUGAGGCGCGUAAGCGUGGGGAGCAAACAGG